AGUAAGGGCGACUGAAAGGGGAUGAGCCCAGCGCAUAACCUCGCGGUCCUGUUGUGGCCGUCGAGGGGUGUUGCGUUUCGGUGGAUCCGUACCGCUCGAGUUGCUGACCGCCUAAGUCAUUGCUUGAAUGCAGCCCCGAGGAGGGUGGUAGGCCCGUGUGGCGGCGCCUGUAAAAAGGUUCGAAGCAACUUGGGCGGAGGGGUCUUUACCGUAGAGUCGGGUUGCUUAGUACUGCAGCCCUAAGUAGGUGGUAAACUCCAUCUAAGGCUAAAUACUACCACGAGUCCGAUAUUUGACAAGUACCGUGAGGGAAAGCUGAAAAGGACUCUGAAGAGAGAGUUCAAGAGGACGUGAAACCAUUAGAAGCUGAAACGGGUGGAACCGUGAAGGUGGAAAGAGGGGAUUCAGGCUGUGGGCGUGCGCGCGCUUGGAAGGUGCAGUCUGUGAGAGGACCCGGCGUUAGAGUGAGUUGCCGCGGCCCCUUCCAGGCGGUGCGUGCGUCGGCGGGCUUAGUUCUCCCUCGAGUACUAGUCGUGGCGACCCGCUGGUCGGACCCCGAGGGCCCCUUUGGACUGGUAGCCUACACCUUUGGUGGAGGUGAUGACCGAACGGGGUACUGGCUGGGUUUGGCCGGCGGUCACUGCAAGGAGGCAGCCUGCCCGUUUACGGGUGGGGCUGCCUCUCGCCAUGUGAGAGGGAUCGGUAAUCCACCCGACCCGUCUUGAAACACGGACCAAGGAGUCCAACAUGUGCGCGAGUCUAAGGGUGGUCUAAACCCGGAGGCGAAAUGAAAGUGAGCUCCUUUGGGGCAGGCCGAUCCCCUGUCAGGGCUGGACCGUUGGUGGCCUGUGGUGAGAGAAUUUCCGACAGGUUUAACUGAUGGUUUUGGCUUUGGCGGCCCCGUCGUCUUUGGCGGCGGGGAGUCGGGGCGCAGGCCGAGGACUUGCCGUUGUGCGGCGCGGGCAACGGGUUGCCUGUGGCUUCCUUAUCCCGAUGUCCGCCGGCAAGUACCUGAGAGCGCAGCCGUUGGGACCCGAAAGAUGGUGAACUAUGCCUGGCGAGGACGAAGCCAGAGGAAACUCUGGUGGAGGUCCGAAGCAGUUCUGACGUGCAAAUCGAUUGUCAGAGCUGGGUAUAGGGGCGAAAGACUAAUCGAACCAUCUAGUAGCUGGUUCCCUCCGAAGUUUCCCUCAGGAUAGCUGGCGUUGGAUCGAAUGAGUUUCAUCCGGUAAAGCGAAUGAUUAGAGGCCUUGGUGGUGCAAUGCCGUCAACCUAUUCUCAAACUUUAAAUGGGUGAGACGUGGAGCUUGCUUGAAACGUGAAGCUCUAUGAUGAGAGAAUCAGAAUGCCUAGUGGGCCACUUUUGGUAAGCAGAACUGGCGCUGUGGGAUGAACCAAACGCACGAGUUAAGGGGCCUAAACGAAUGCUAAUGUAGACACUACGAAAAGGUGUUGGUUGCUAUAGACAGCAGGGCGGUGGCCAUGGAAGUUGGAAUCCGCUAAGGAGUGUGUAACAACUCACCUGCCGAAGCAACUAGCCCUUAAAAUGGUAUGGCGCUGAAGCAUUCUCCCGAUACUCGGCCGCCGGGGCAUUGUUUUGGUUGAGAGAGGCCAUGGAAGCCCCGGCGAGUAGGAGGGUCGCAGCGGUGAGCGUCGAAGGGACUGGGCGUGAGCCGGCCUGGAGCCGCCGCUGGUGCAGAUCUUGGUGGUAGUAGCAAAUAAUCAAGAGAGAGCCUCGUUGGCUGAUGUGGAGAAGGGUUCCAUGUCAACAUCAGUUGAACAUGGGUGAGUCAGGCCUAAGCCCAAGGAUAAAUUUCCUGUGUCCCACGUGUUCCCAGGCCUCCAAAAGGACGGUCUAGAAGCGAGGCAGGCAGCCAGAGAGAGAGAGAAAGUGUGGCUGCCGCUGGCCUUUUGCUCCAGAGAGAAGAAAGAGCAUUGUGAUUGGCGGCGGCCGUANAGACUGCCUUGCCUCGUUUUCUUGCAAGAGAGAUUUGUGCGUGCGUGCUUAGAGAGAGAGAAGAGGCCGCCACGCUCCUGCCCACCUGGG
Molecule: ribosomal RNA, 2047 nt
Filed under: Macrobrachium caementarius
Lineage: Eukaryota; Metazoa; Arthropoda; Malacostraca; Decapoda; Palaemonidae
Description: partial 28S large subunit ribosomal RNA
Rfam family: Eukaryotic large subunit ribosomal RNA
Source: RNAcentral